AUCCAAGUGCAAGGGCAUUAACCGCAGCAGUGAAGAUUCGUCUGAGCUCGGUUUUUUGCUAGUUGAAAAUUACAACAAUGGCUGCUCCUGUUGGCCCGUUGGGUCGGCAGGGAAUUUUUGGCGAAACACUAC
RNAcentral lists this small nuclear RNA (132 nucleotides) under Paraphaeosphaeria sporulosa. Its description in RNAcentral is "U4 spliceosomal RNA". It matches the Rfam family "U4 spliceosomal RNA". From Rfam's summary of the family: U4 small nuclear RNA (U4 snRNA) is a component of the major U2-dependent spliceosome. The structure of U4 snRNA from yeast and human has been reported. U4 snRNA presents a k-turn RNA motif in the 5p-SL related to recognition of Snu13 protein. The record is from Rfam by way of RNAcentral. Lineage: Eukaryota; Fungi; Ascomycota; Dothideomycetes; Pleosporales; Didymosphaeriaceae.